UCCAAUCAAAGAAUGUACUCGCAAUCGGGAAUGUCCGCCUUUGAUUUUUCCUGGAUGAGUGGAGUAAUAUAACUGUAUUGCUCUGCUUAUCCCGCUAAAAACGAAAGCGGACAUUGCCGAUUGCAAAUACAUUUAUAGAGUGGACUCAGAAUUUAGAUCCCCCGUAUGGUUCUUCUGUUUUCCGCGAAUAAGGAUACCUACUUCAACACUAUCGUCCAGGAAUGAUAAAUGGUUUUAAGGCCUAGAGUGAAUUAAAUAAAAAUGGUUUCCGGUGCUUUGGAUGUGCAAUUCAAUAUAUUGUUUGCAGCGGAAUAUGGAGACUCAAACAAGGAACGCCAUUUUGUUUUUGAAUUCUUGUAUUAACCUAAAUUAUGGAAAAAAUACUGUGCUACUAAAAAUGUAUCUGUGUUUAUAAUAAAAGAACUGAAGCAUGA
Molecule: long non-coding RNA, 434 nt
Organism: Drosophila ficusphila
Lineage: Eukaryota; Metazoa; Arthropoda; Insecta; Diptera; Drosophilidae
Exons: 2
Source: RefSeq, a predicted model, not a curated record